AUACGGAGGAUGCGAGCGUUAUCCGGAUUCAUUGGGUAUAAAGGGUGCGCAGGCGGCCAUUUAAGUCAGCGGUUAAAUCGUGGGGCUCAACCCCAUUCUGCCGUUGAUACUGGGUGGCUUGAUUGCGGUCGAGGUUGGCGGAAUUCGUUGUGUAGCGGUGAAAUGCAUAGAUAUGACGAAGAACACCGAUUGCGUAGGCAGCUGACCAGACCGCAAAUGACGCUCAUGCACGAAAGUGCGGGGAUCGAACAGGAUUAGAUACCCUGGUAGUCCGCACAGUAAACGAUGAAUACUUGUUUUCGGCGAUAUAAUGUCGGAGGCAAAGCGAAAGCGAUAAGUAUUCCACCUGGGGAGUACGCCGGCAACGGUGAAACUCAAAGGAAUCGACGGGG
This 392-nucleotide ribosomal RNA is filed under the name uncultured bacterium. RNAcentral describes it as "partial 16S ribosomal RNA". It matches the Rfam family "Bacterial small subunit ribosomal RNA", at positions 523 to 918 of the family's 1533-position model. The record is from RNAcentral.